Molecule: unclassified non-coding RNA, 201 nt
Filed under: Hevea brasiliensis (rubber tree)
Lineage: Eukaryota; Viridiplantae; Streptophyta; Magnoliopsida; Malpighiales; Euphorbiaceae
Source: RNAcentral
CUGAGGAUGGAGAUUUGGGUGAUGGAGCAAAUGAGGGAGUCGGGGCAAUUGGCGAUGGAGAAACAGGUGACAGUGAUGGAGACACUGAGGGAGUCUUGGCAAUUGGCGAUGGAGAAGCAGGGGACACUGUAGGCACCGGAGACAAUGAUGGAGUUUUGGGUGAUGGAGAUGCAGGGGAGAUAGAUGGAGGGUGAGCUACUG